UUUCCGGUUGAUCCUGCCGGAGGCCACUGCUAUCGGGGUCCGACUAAGCCAUGCGAGUCAAGGGGCUCCCUUCGGGGAGCACCGGCGCACGGCUCAGUAACACGUGGCUAACCUACCCUCGGGUGGGGGAUAACCUCGGGAAACUGAGGCUAAUCCCCCAUAGGGGAGGAGGUCUGGAAUGAUCCCUCCCCGAAAGGCGUAAGCCGCCCGAGGAUGGGGCUGCGGCGGAUUAGGUAGUUGGUGGGGUAACGGCCCACCAAGCCUACGAUCCGUACGGGCCCUGAGAGGGGGAGCCCGGAGAUGGACACUGAGACACGGGUCCUGGCCCUACGGGGCGCAGCAGGCGCGAAACCUCCGCAAUGCGCGAAAGCGCGACGGGGGGACCCCGAGUGCCCACGCUCUGCGUGGGCUUUUCCGGAGUGUAAACAGCUCCGGGAAUAAGGGCUGGGCAAGUCCGGUGCCAGCAGCCGCGGUAGUACCGGCGGCCCAAGUGGUGGCCACUGUUAUUGGGCCUAAAGCGUCCGUAGCCGGCCCGGUAAGUCUCUGCUUAAAUCCUGCGGCUCAACCGCAGGGCUGGCAGAGAUACUGCCGGGCUUGGGACCGGGAGAGGCCGGGGGUACCCCAGGGGUAGCGGUGAAAUGCGUUGAUCCCUGGGGGACCACCUGUGGCGAAGGCGCCCGGCUGGAACGGGUCCGACGGUGAGGGACGAAGGCCAGGGGAGCAAACCGGAUUAGAUACCCGGGUAGUCCUGGCUGUAAACUCUGCGGACUAGGUGUCGCGUCGGCUUCGGGCCGACGCGGUGCCGAAGGGAAGCCGUUAAGUCCGCCGCCUGGGGAGUACGGUUGCAAGACUGAAACUUAAAGGAAUUGGCGGGGGAGCACUACAACGGGUGGAGCCUGCGGUUUAAUUGGAUUCAACGCCGGGCAUCUUACCAGGGGCGACGGCAGGAUGAAGGCCAGGUUGACGACCUUGCCAGACGCGCCGAGAGGUGGUGCAUGGCCGUCGUCAGCUCGUACCGUGAGGCGUCCUGUUAAGUCAGGUAACGAGCGAGACCCGUGCCCCAUGUUGCUACCCUCCCCUCCGGGGGAGGGGCACUCAUGGGGGACCGCCGGCGCUAAGCCGGAGGAAGGUGCGGGCAACGACAGGUCCGCAUGCCCCGAAUCCCCUGGGCUACACGCGGGGUACAAUGGCCGGGACAAUGGGACGCGACCCUGAAAGGGGGAGCGAAUCCCCUAAACCCGGUGGUAGUCCGGAUCGAGGGCUGUAACUCGCCCUCGUGAAGCCGGAAUCCGUAGUAAUCGCGCCUCACCAUGGCGCGGUGAAUGCGUCCCUGCUCCUUGCACACACCGCCCGUCACGCCACCCGAGUUGAGCCCAAGUGAGGCCCUGUCCGCAAGGGCAGGGUCGAACUUGGGUUCAGC
This 1420-nucleotide ribosomal RNA is filed under the name hyperthermophilic methanogen FS406-22. Its description in RNAcentral is "bacterial SSU rRNA". It matches the Rfam family "Archaeal small subunit ribosomal RNA". Lineage: Archaea; Methanobacteriati; Methanobacteriota; Methanococci; Methanococcales. The record is from RNAcentral.